RNAcentral lists this ribosomal RNA (32 nucleotides) under Aedes albopictus (Asian tiger mosquito). RNAcentral describes it as "partial 28S rRNA". Lineage: Eukaryota; Metazoa; Arthropoda; Insecta; Diptera; Culicidae. The record is from RNAcentral.
AUCAGUAGGCCUCAAAUAAUGUGUGACUACCC